GCAGAGUAGAUAAGAUGCGUUAAGUGUGGCAAAAUGGGAUGUCGUUUGUCAACGAAAGGCGCGAGCCUGCGGUAUCUUAUCGCGUCCGUUG
This 91-nucleotide non-coding RNA is filed under the name bovine gut metagenome. Its description in RNAcentral is "THF riboswitch". It matches the Rfam family "THF (Tetrahydrofolate) riboswitch aptamer". Rfam says of the family: THF riboswitch presents a pseudoknot that joins P1-P2 and the loop of P3 and two THF binding. The record is from RNAcentral.